RNAcentral lists this unclassified non-coding RNA (211 nucleotides) under plant metagenome. RNAcentral describes it as "partial contains small subunit ribosomal RNA, internal transcribed spacer 1, and 5.8S ribosomal RNA". The record is from RNAcentral.
GAACCGUAGGUGAACCUGCGGUUGGAUCAUUCAUAAUAAAGUGUUUUAUGGCACUUUUUAAAAAUCCAUAUCCACCUUGUGUGCAAUGUUAGAUCUCGUCAAUCUUGGCGAGAUUUUUAUACAUCAACUCAUUCUUUAACUAAUUUGUCUGAAAAAUAUUAUGAAUACUUAAUUCAAAAUACAACUUUCAACAACGGAUCUCUUGGCUCUC